GAGCGCUAGCGGGAGGCUUAACACAUGCAAGCCGAGCGCUAUUUGUCUUUCGCAACAUAUAGACCGGCGUACGGCUGCGGAACACAUGUACAACAUCCCUUUAUCAGGGGGAUAGCGUCUGGAGAGGAAGAUUAAUACCCCAUACUAUAAUUGAUGACAUCACAAGUUAUUGAGAAACUCCGGUGGAUAGAGAUGGGCACGCGCAAGAUUAGAUAGUAGGUAGGGCAACGGCCUCCCAAGUCAGUGAUCGUUAGAGGGCCUGAGAGGGUGAUCCACCACACUGGUACUGAGACACGGACCAGACUCUUUCGGGAGGCAGCAGUGAGGAAUAUCGUACAAUGGGCGAGAGCGUGAUCCACCCAUCACGCGUGAAGGACGAAGUCCCUCUGGGCUGUAAACCUCUUUAGGACAGGGAUAAACCUAUCCACGUGUCGAAAGCUGAAGGUACCGUACGAAUGAGCACAGGCUCAGUCCGUGCCAGCAGCCGCGGUAAUACGGAGGGUGCAAGCCUUAUCCGGAUUUAUUGGGUUUAAAGGGUCCGUAGGCGGAUCUGUAAGUCAGUGGUGAAAUCUCAUAGCUUAACUAUGAAACUGCCAUUGAUACUGCAGGUCUUGAGUAAGGUAGAAGUAGCUGGAAUAAGUAGUGUAGCGGUGAAAUGCAUAGAUAUUACUUAGAACACCAAUUGCGAAGGCAGGUUACUAUGUCUUAACUGACGCUGAUGGACGAAAGCGUGGGGAGCGAACAGGAUUAGAUACCCUGGUAGUCCACGCCGUAAACGAUGCUAACUCGUUUUUGGGCUUUUAAGGUUCAAAAACUAAGCGAAAGUGAUAAGUUAGCCACCUGGGGAGUACGUUCGCAAGAAUGAAACUCAAAGGAAUUGACGGGGGCCCGCACAAGCGGUGGAUUAUGUGGUUUAAUUCGAUGAUACGCGAGGAACCUUACCAAGGCUUAAAUGGGAAUUGACAGGCUUAGAAAUAGGCUUUUCUUCGGACAAUUUUCAAGGUGCUGCAUGGUUGUCGUCAGCUCGUGCCGUGAGGUGUUAGGUUAAGUCCUGCAACGAGCGCAACCCCUGUCACUAGUUGCCAUCAUUGAGUUGGGGACUCUAGUGAGACUGCCUACGCAAGUAGAGAGGAAGGUGGGGAUGACGUCAAAUCAUCACGGCCCUUACGCCUUGGGCCACACACGUAAUACAAUGGCCGGUACAGAGGGCAGCUACUAUGUGAAUAGAUGCGAAUCUCGAAAGCCGGUCUCAGUUCGGAUUGGAGUCUGCAACUCGACUCUAUGAAGCUGGAAUCGCUAGUAAUCGCGCAUCAGCCAUGGCGCGGUGAAUACGUUCCCGGGCCUUGUACACACCGCCCGUCAAGCCAUGG
Molecule: ribosomal RNA, 1370 nt
Filed under: Chryseobacterium sp. DR 5-06
Lineage: Bacteria; Pseudomonadati; Bacteroidota; Flavobacteriia; Flavobacteriales; Weeksellaceae
Description: bacterial SSU rRNA
Rfam family: Bacterial small subunit ribosomal RNA
Source: RNAcentral